Molecule: ribosomal RNA, 468 nt
Filed under: uncultured bacterium
Lineage: Bacteria
Description: partial 16S ribosomal RNA
Rfam family: Bacterial small subunit ribosomal RNA
Source: RNAcentral
GACGAACGCUGGCGGCGUGCUUAACACAUGCAAGUCGAACGGAAAGGCCCUGCUUUUGUGGGGUGCUCGAGUGGCGAACGGGUGAGUAACACGUGAGUAACCUGCCCUUGACUUUGGGAUAACUUCAGGAAACUGGGGCUAAUACCGGAUAGGAGCUCCUGCUGCAUGGUGGGGGUUGGAAAGUUUCGGCGGUUGGGGAUGGACUCGCGGCUUAUCAGCUUGUUGGUGGGGCAGUGACUUACCAAGGCUUUGACGGGUAGCCGGCCUGAGAGGGUGACCGGCCACAUUGGGACUGAGAUACGGCCCAGACUCCUACGGGAGGCAGCAGUGGGGAAUAUUGCACAAUGGGCGGAAGCCUGAUGCAGCAACGCCGCGUGCGGGAUGACGGCCUUCGGGUUGUAAACCGCUUUCGCCUGUGACGAAGCGUGAGUGACGGUAAUGGGUAAAGAAGCACCGGCUAACUACGUG